RNAcentral lists this ribosomal RNA (429 nucleotides) under Acidobacteriota bacterium. RNAcentral's name for it is "Acidobacteria bacterium partial 16S ribosomal RNA". It matches the Rfam family "Bacterial small subunit ribosomal RNA", at positions 355 to 776 of the family's 1533-position model. The record is from RNAcentral. Lineage: Bacteria; Pseudomonadati; Acidobacteriota.
UGGGGAAUUUUGGACAAUGGGGGAAACCCUGAUCCAGCCAUCCCGCGUGUGCGAUGAAGGCCUUCGGGUUGUAAAGCACUUUUGGUAGGAAAGAAACGUCAUGGGUUAAUACCCCGUGAAACUGACGGUACCUGCAGAAUAAGCACCGGCUAACUACGUGCCAGCAGCCGCGGUAAUACGUAGGGUGCAAGCGUUAAUCGGAAUUACUGGGCGUAAAGCGUGCGCAGGCGGUUCGGAAAGAGAGAUGUGAAAUCCCAGAGCUCAACUUUGGAACUGCAUUUAUAACUACCGGGCUAGAGUGUGUCAGAGUGAGGUUGAAUUCCGCGUGUAGCAGUGAAAUGCGUAGAUAUACGGAGCAACACCGAUGGCGAAGGCAGCCUCCUGGAAUAACACUGACGCUCAUGCACGAAAGCGUGGGGAGCAAACAGG